Molecule: long non-coding RNA, 1128 nt
Filed under: Prunus persica (peach)
Lineage: Eukaryota; Viridiplantae; Streptophyta; Magnoliopsida; Rosales; Rosaceae
Description: long non-coding RNA (PPER_LNC000250)
Source: RNAcentral
GCAUGCAUUAGUCUUAAAGUGUGACAACAAUUAACUCAUGCUUUUAUGUUUUCAUGCUCUAAUUUUUGGACAACAAAAAUCAGUUUCAACGACUCUAUGAAAUAGUGAAUUAAGCGAAAUUAGUGGAAAGAAACAUGUUUAGAUUGCACGACUCUACUCAUGUAUGCGUAGGUCAAUGAAUUUGACGCAUCAUGAUAAUAAAAUGGUUAAAACUUUAGCGUACAAUAUGUAACUCUGGAAUUCACCAAGAAAAUAUGAGGAAAUCUCAAAGUUUAUUAAUAAAUUAGAAUAAUAAAACAUAACCUUUAGGGACUGACCUAGGAUUUUAAAAUGAGGUAGGCUAGAUUUACCUUAUUGAACUGUUAAAUUUUUGGCUUAUGGAAUUGAUCACACAUAUAUAAUUAAAAGGCCUAUUUUACACCAAUAAUGCCAGCUAAGGUCUAACAUAAUGAACAAAAAUGAAUUAAGAGAAAAAAAUUCAUUAAAAAAAAUUCAAAAAUGAAAAUUUAUCAUCACAAAGAUAGAGUCAGAUAGACACAUGACAACUAGAGGUAACACUACAAUUAUCCAAUUAGUUCAAAUUAAUAUUUCUGCUAUAAAUGGGAUUAACAUUAAAACUAACUAUAAGAAAUAAAUAAAUAAACUCACCUGGGCUAUAGCCCAGGUUGUAUAAGUCAUAGGACCGUCCCUGAUAACCUUAGCCAUGGGUAAAAUCUGUUUAAAUACUUCUAGAAAUCCUAGGAAUAAACAAGGAAUUAAAAUAAAAAAAAUAACAAAGUUUCCAAAAACUGUAAAAACAUUAAAACUAAAUUUCAGGUUACUAAAUGAUCUUGGAUGUCCGAAAAAGCUCAUACCUUAUGACAAAGCAAUGAAUUUUACUUGUGACGGCCUAAUUCUGAGCUCGGAGCUCAAAUCUAUAGUUUGCCUUAUUUAUCUUUACACGCGCAUCUCUGCAACUCCUCUUCAAUUACUUCCUCUUCAAUUACUUCCGUCGUAUGUUCAACAUCAGAAUUAAUUUGUUGUCAAUUUAAGCAAAUCAUUGUGAUAACUUCUUUGAGAUAAUGUUUCGCUUCUGCAACAAAAACAACACCACCACGUACUCUCAGCUUUAAUCACCAUAGUUUUUAU